GUCCAGCUUCGCCCUCCUCAGCUCCGUCAUGGACGCCUGCAUCUGCUCGAUCACAAAGUCGUCCUCGUAGUAGAAGUUUUUGGACAAAGUCACCUGCAGGAACUCCACCAGCUCCUCCAUGGACAGCUUCAUCAGGAAACACUGGAAGAACCACUUCAUGGUGUAGAGACUGGUGAACACUUCCUGGGUGUCCUGCAACACAACAAACACAUACAGACACAAGAGAUGAAUGAGGCAUCGACAAGGGAAGAGCUUAAAUGUGUGUUAACUCAGAAUAUUACGUUUUUAUCACUUUGUCCUAUGAUUAUUUACUUUAAACAAGCUUCCAUAUCCACAGAUUAAUAAUGCUUCUGAAAUAUGUUUUCAGGUUCUAUGUAUUUCUAUGUUUUCUGUCCUUAAGCACCAGUCGCUGCAUUGCCCCCCCGUCACAGUGUGUGUCUCACCAGGUGUUGUUUCAGUUUGGGCAUCAUCUUCUUGAGUGUGCGAUCGUGAUGUUCCUGGAAACGCAUCAACUUCGGGAAACCAGGGACGAAAAACCCUGAAGGUGAAACCAGAAGGGAAGAAAGGAUUUGAGCCGUCUGGCUGAAAUGUGCAAAUCAUUUUGAACUGAUAGAUAAUUUAAAAACUCUGUGUGUGUGUGUGUGUGUGUGUGUGUGUGUGUGUGUGUGUAUUUGUGUUACCGUGCAUGGAGUGCUUCUGUCCCGACAGCAGUUUGACCAGAGCCCAGAAGGCGUCUUCUUCGUUCAUGUAGAUCAGUAGCAGAGCUGUGAUCUGACUCAUGCCUUGGCAGUAACCCACCUCCUGCACACACACACACACACACACACAGGGAAACACACACAAGGAAACACACUCUAAUCACCCAGAGGAGCAACAACAAGUUCUUAAUGUUUUAAACACAUGCAUUUAACUCUGUAAAGUUUGAAUCCUCCUGAAUGUAUGUGUUUUAACAACCUAUUGUUUCUGAUGCAUUGUGUUUGUCAUGUGUGAAUUUAUGUGAAACACUAAAAAAAGCUCCUUCUCAGUGUUUGUAAAAACGAGACACACACAGACACACACAUGUGCUCGGAUCCAGAACAGCGGCGGAGACACGGUGACCUUUGCAGAGUGUGAGUGACUCACCGUGUUGUACAUGGAGUAGGCCGUGAGGACGUGGAACAGAGCCUGCUGCCUGAGAACAGCAAACACAAAACACAAUCAACACAAAAGCCUGCAAAACAAAUCCUCAGUUUUACAGCCGAGCUGGUGAAUCCUCGUCUCCUGCUUCAAACCCACGUGCAGCGUAGUGGCUGCACGUCAGACUCAGUGUGAUGAACUAAAUCCCCAUGUAAAACACAUACUGUGA
Platichthys flesus (European flounder) is the source of this 1345-nucleotide long non-coding RNA. RefSeq lists it as uncharacterized. Lineage: Eukaryota; Metazoa; Chordata; Actinopteri; Pleuronectiformes; Pleuronectidae. The transcript has 2 exons. The record is from RefSeq and is a predicted model, not a curated record.